GGUGAUAUGAUGCAGUUCGGUAC
RNAcentral lists this non-coding RNA (23 nucleotides) under Arabidopsis thaliana (thale cress). Lineage: Eukaryota; Viridiplantae; Streptophyta; Magnoliopsida; Brassicales; Brassicaceae. The record is from RNAcentral.